CCGAGUGAUACAUAUAAAAGCAUC
This 24-nucleotide non-coding RNA is filed under the name Arabidopsis thaliana (thale cress). Lineage: Eukaryota; Viridiplantae; Streptophyta; Magnoliopsida; Brassicales; Brassicaceae. The record is from RNAcentral.